Molecule: ribosomal RNA, 253 nt
Filed under: uncultured bacterium
Lineage: Bacteria
Description: partial 16S ribosomal RNA
Rfam family: Bacterial small subunit ribosomal RNA
Source: RNAcentral
UACGAAGGGGGCGAGCGUUGUUCGGAAUUACUGGGCGUAAAGGGCGCGCAGGCGGCUCUGAAAGUCAGAUGUGAAAGCCCCGGGCUUAACCUGGGAACUGCAUUUGAUACUCUAGAGCUUGAGUACGGGAGAGGAGAGUGGAAUUCCCAGUGUAGAGGUGAAAUUCGUAGAUAUUGGGAAGAACACCGGUGGCGAAGGCGGCUCACUGGCUCGUAACUGACGCUCAUGCACGACAGCGUGGGGAUCAAACAGG